GUGAUGUACUUUGUAAUCUUUAUAUAUAUAUAUAUAUAUAUAUAUAUAUAUAAACAGAGUACAAAUUAACAAUAAUAAUGAAAUACAAAUUUGCCCAUCAAAUUAAUGGCCGUUGUUCCUCCUUUGAGUACUGUGAAAAUCAUUACAAAAGAAGAGGAUCGUGAUAUUACUUGGGAAUUUCUGUAAAGCAUCUGUGGUAGAACCAUCAAUCUUCGUACCCCACAUCAUGCACAU
Juglans microcarpa x Juglans regia is the source of this 234-nucleotide long non-coding RNA. RefSeq lists it as uncharacterized. The record is from RefSeq and is a predicted model, not a curated record. Lineage: Eukaryota; Viridiplantae; Streptophyta; Magnoliopsida; Fagales; Juglandaceae. The transcript is spliced from 3 exons.